RNAcentral lists this ribosomal RNA (253 nucleotides) under uncultured bacterium. Its description in RNAcentral is "partial 16S ribosomal RNA". It matches the Rfam family "Bacterial small subunit ribosomal RNA", at positions 524 to 776 of the family's 1533-position model. The record is from RNAcentral.
UACAGAGGGUGCAAGCGUUGUUCGGAAUUACUGGGCGUAAAGCGUGCGUAGGUGGUUCGUUAAGUCUGAUGUGAAAGCCCUGGGCUCAACCUGGGAAUGGCAUUGGAAACUGGCGACCUAGAGUGCGGUAGUGGGCAGUGGAAUUCCCGGUGUAGCAGUGAAAUGCGUAGAGAUCGGGAGGAACAUCUGUGGCGAAGGCGACUGCCUGGACCAGCACUGACACUGAGGCACGAAAGCGUGGGGAGCAAACAGG